ACCAUAUUUGAGCAGAGGUUCCUCAAGAGCAUGCGGGCCAUACAGGGGGCGGUUAUAGUGUCCUCCAGUAUUCAGAUCAUCCUUGGUUACAGCCAGCUCUGGGGUAUUUUCUCCAGGUACCACCACACACUGUCAAGUACUUGUUGUACUAGUCGCCAACCCGUGCAUUCGCACGGCCUAGUUACUAAAUACUUUUACAUGAUAAUCUAUAUACCAUAUAACUAUUUUCUGCGUAAAGUUAUAUUGGUCGUCCAUAUGAAAAGUUCUAAAGGAUUUGGAACUUGGGGAUUCAUAGGAGAAUUCAUUUCCACUAUUGAGUUAGUUGGGUGA
This 330-nucleotide ribosomal RNA is filed under the name Triticum aestivum (bread wheat). RNAcentral describes it as "partial small subunit ribosomal RNA". The record is from RNAcentral. Lineage: Eukaryota; Viridiplantae; Streptophyta; Magnoliopsida; Poales; Poaceae.